Long non-coding RNA from Zerene cesonia (dogface butterfly), 309 nucleotides. RefSeq lists it as uncharacterized. The transcript has 3 exons. NCBI's taxonomy places the organism in Eukaryota, Metazoa, Arthropoda, Insecta, Lepidoptera, Pieridae. The record is from RefSeq and is a predicted model, not a curated record.
CAGACGACCGCCUACGCGUUCGGCAGCGGUCGUGUCCGCGCGAGUUGCCAGCCACAGCGGCCGGGCCCGGCGCCCGCCGCGCACGCUUCACCUACGCGAGCCGCGACGCGCGACACGGUUAACAAGGUCGCUAGCCCAAAGCGACUCAAACUCAACUCAACUCGGACCGCCGACACGUUUCCGAUAGAUGAGAUCUACGGGGCCACGACAAGAUGGCAUCUUUCAAAGACUGGCUCACAGUAACAUGGGCCCAGAGCGGGAUGCAACUUCAGCCAGACGCAGAAGGAGACGACUCUCUCAGGGGACGGU